This 253-nucleotide ribosomal RNA is filed under the name uncultured bacterium. RNAcentral's name for it is "partial 16S ribosomal RNA". It matches the Rfam family "Bacterial small subunit ribosomal RNA", at positions 524 to 776 of the family's 1533-position model. The record is from RNAcentral.
UACAGAGGGGGCAAGCGUUGUUCGGAAUUACUGGGCGUAAAGGGCGCGUAGGCGGCUUGGCAAGUGGAAGGUGAAAUCCCUCGGCUUAACCGAGGAACUGCCUUCCAGACUGCUUUGCUUGAGGCCGGGAGAGGUGAGUGGAAUUCCCAGUGUAGCGGUGAAAUGCGUAGAUAUUGGGAGGAACACCAGAGGCGAAGGCGGCGACCUGGACAAGUACUGACACUCAACUACGAAAGCGUGGGGAGCAAACAGG